UUCAUGGGGUUUGCGACCGCCCCACGAGGCGCCAGCCGAAGAUCGCGUUCCCGCAUAUCCUGACCUGAGGAGGAACGCAGAUG
Gemmobacter megaterium is the source of this 83-nucleotide regulatory RNA element. It matches the Rfam family "chrB-a RNA". Lineage: Bacteria; Pseudomonadati; Pseudomonadota; Alphaproteobacteria; Rhodobacterales; Paracoccaceae. The record is from Rfam.